UUGACAAUCUGAUUGUGAAGGCAUACUUUCAGGAGUGAGGGUAGAGCGGGGUUUCCCCCGCCCUGGUAGUCUUAGUAAGCCGGGAAGCUUAUGACUAAGAGCACCACGAUGAUGAUCCACUUCAUUAUGACCCUUUCCUUAUU
This 143-nucleotide small RNA is filed under the name Escherichia coli IAI39. RNAcentral describes it as "QUAD". It matches the Rfam family "Short Intergenic Abundant RNA". From Rfam's summary of the family: This family contains multiple ncRNA from E. coli that were identified in a large scale screen of E. coli, were they were called candidates 43,55 and 61. These RNAs have also been identified by other groups and called QUAD RNAs. Lineage: Bacteria; Pseudomonadati; Pseudomonadota; Gammaproteobacteria; Enterobacterales; Enterobacteriaceae. The record is from RNAcentral.